This 253-nucleotide ribosomal RNA is filed under the name uncultured bacterium. RNAcentral describes it as "partial 16S ribosomal RNA". It matches the Rfam family "Bacterial small subunit ribosomal RNA", at positions 524 to 776 of the family's 1533-position model. The record is from RNAcentral.
UACGUAGGGACCGAGCGUUGUCCGGAAUCAUUGGGCGUAAAGAGCGUGUAGGCGGCCACUUAAGUCCUGCGUGAAAUCUUGCGGCUCAACCGCAAGCGGUCGUGGGAAACUGGAAGGCUAGAGUGCGGGAGAGGAGAGUGGAAUUCCCGGUGUAGCGGUGAAAUGCGCAGAUAUCGGGAAGAACACCAGUGGCGAAAGCGGCUCUCUGGGGACCACCUGACGCUGAGGCGCGAAAGCGUGGGGAGCGAACCGG